UCUAAAUUGGGGUUUUUUACUUUAGAUUGGGUUGCCGGACGGGUAAUAACCGUAAAGAACUUUGCCUCACAGCUAGGGCCAACCAUUGAAACCGAAUGCUUAAUACCUGAUAUUAUGAUUUUUAAGGCAUCUUUAGAAUUAUGAAGCUAUAUGCGCUGUGAGAGAGCUUUGCGUCCCCAUUAGCUAGUUGGAGAGGUAACGGCUCACCAAGGCGAUGAUGGGUAGCCGGCCUGAGAGGGUGAACGGCCACAAGGGGACUGAGACACGGCCCUUACUCCUACGGGAGGCAGCAGUGGGGAAUAUUGGACAAUGGACCAAGAGUCUGAUCCAGCAAUUCUGUGUGCACGAUGACGUUUUUCGGAAUGUAAAGUGCUUUCAGUUGGGAAGAAAAAAAUGUACGGUACCACAGAAGAAG
RNAcentral lists this ribosomal RNA (415 nucleotides) under Fusobacterium sp. oral taxon D78. Its description in RNAcentral is "bacterial SSU rRNA". It matches the Rfam family "Bacterial small subunit ribosomal RNA", at positions 66 to 490 of the family's 1533-position model. Lineage: Bacteria; Fusobacteriati; Fusobacteriota; Fusobacteriia; Fusobacteriales; Fusobacteriaceae. The record is from RNAcentral.